UUGUUCCUACAAUAAAGUCCGUGGUUGUGAUGCUCACAGUGUAUGAGACCUAAUGUCCUACCAUGCUGUCCCCUAUUUCUAUUCAAGAGUCAUACCAAAUGCUAAGUUAUACUUUCUUCAAUAAAAGAAAAAGAAAAAGAUUUAAAUAACACUGCCCCCGUGCCCCUCAAUUCUCUUGGUUUUCUGAAAUCAGAAUGAAUCAACAUAACCAAUAAGGAACCUGCUAGAAACUUGUAUCCCAGAGUCGAAGUAUCUGGAAAGACUAAUCCAUUUCUGAUUUUUUUUUUUUAAAGCUAUGAAGCCGCAGCCCUGUUUACAUUCCAGUGAAGUAGUUUAGUAAUUUAUAGCUAAUUUGUCAAUGGGCAUGCAGCUGUAGGCUGUGCAGUUUGAAAACAAAAAAAGAAUAUACCUCUCCCUUCAUGUUUACAUAGGCUCUGAAAGCCUGGUGUAGCGCAGGAUGCGAGCCCCCAGAGUCAUUAGGAAGGUCCACCAGCCUCUGAGGGUGGAGGGAUGUUUGCAUUAUAACCCAACACAUCAUUAAGGACACAAUUGUUAUUUAAUGUGGCACAAUCAUCUUUCUACCCUUCGUGAAAUGCACUUAAUUCUAUUUUGUGCUGAUUUCUCCUUCCUCAAAUCCCCUCUAUAUCCUCCCAGAAGGACCACAGCUACUGUUGGUGAGGAUGGCAGUACCCGGAGCCAAUGCAGACACCAUUCAUCCAUCUGCAGGCACCGCAGGGGCCAGCGGCCAGACCACCACUUCCCAGUCCCGGAGGCUGUGGCAUCUAUAAAUAACAUUGUAGCACUACAUAAGGUGAGAGAAACCAGUUCUCCACAGAGUGUGCAAUGAAGAAUUUUGAAUUAAAAGGGGUUUAAAUGGUAGUUUGGUUUCAAUAGUAAAAUUAAAAAGAAGAUCAAACAGAUGUUGCUCUGAUAGCUGGAUUCCUAAGGAAAUCAACUAUAGAUUUCAUAAAGUACUGAUUACUGGGCUACAUAAUCAGCAUGAUUUUGCCAGUAUCUAAAAGCCAUUAGGAAAGGCGAGAGGUAUCAAACACACUGUAUCCAGUGUGUGCUGCUGUCUCCCCUGAAAUCUCCACGCAGAUCAUUCUGUAUAACUUAAUUAGCGAAGUUAAAAUUAAGAUGAGACUCCAGUGUGUUUAGGCGAAACAAUUUCUGUGAGAGGAUACUUCAUUAAAACAUUUAAUAAUGCAACAACUUCUGCUUAUCAAACAGCUUGCUGAAAGAAAAAAAUAUUUUUUUGCCAAUUAAUAAAA
RNAcentral lists this long non-coding RNA (1271 nucleotides) under Mus musculus (house mouse). RNAcentral describes it as "predicted gene 28140". Lineage: Eukaryota; Metazoa; Chordata; Mammalia; Rodentia; Muridae. The record is from RNAcentral.